Molecule: ribosomal RNA, 417 nt
Filed under: uncultured bacterium
Lineage: Bacteria
Description: bacterial SSU rRNA
Rfam family: Bacterial small subunit ribosomal RNA
Source: RNAcentral
AUUGAACGCUGGCGGCAUGCCUUACACAUGCAAGUCGAACGGCAGCGGACCUUCGGGUGCCGGCGAGUGGCGAACGGGUGAGUAAUAUAUCGGAACGUACCUUUCAGUGGGGGAUAACGUAGCGAAAGUUACGCUAAUACCGCAUAUUCUGUGAGCAGGAAAGCAGGGGAUCGCAAGACCUUGCGCUGAUUGAGCGGCCGAUAUCAGAUUAGCUAGUUGGUGAGGUAAAGGCUCACCAAGGCGACGAUCUGUAGCGGGUCUGAGAGGAUGAUCCGCCACACUGGAACUGAGACACGGUCCAGACUCCUACGGGAGGCAGCAGUGGGGAAUUUUGGACAAUGGGCGCAAGCCUGAUCCAGCCAUGCCGCGUGAGUGAAGAAGGCCUUCGGGUUGUCAAAGACUCUUUCGGUCCGGGAA